RNAcentral lists this ribosomal RNA (464 nucleotides) under uncultured bacterium. Its description in RNAcentral is "partial 16S ribosomal RNA". It matches the Rfam family "Bacterial small subunit ribosomal RNA", at positions 28 to 507 of the family's 1533-position model. The record is from RNAcentral.
GACGAACGCUGGCGGCGUGCUUAACACAUGCAAGUCGAACGGAAAGGCCCCUUUGGGGGUACUCGAGUGGCGAACGGGUGCGUAACACGUGAGUAACCUGCCCUUGACUUCGGGAUAACUUCAGGAAACUGGGGCUAAUACCGGAUAGGAAUCCUUGCUGCAUGGUGGGGGUUGGAAAGCUUCGGCGGUUUUGGAUGGACUCGCGGCUUAUCGGCUUGUUGGUGGGGGAGUGGCUUACCAAGGCUUUGACGGGUAGCCGGCCUGAGAGGGCGACGGGCCAGAUGGGAAUGGGGAACGGCGCGGGAAGCCUCGGGGGGGAGGCGGGGGGGAAGAUGCAACAAUGGGGGGAGGCCGAAGCGAGAACGGCGGGGGGGGGGAUGGGGGCUUUGGGAUGGGAAACCGCAUCAGCAUGUGGGGAGGUGGGAGUGACGGUAAUGGGAGAAGAAGCAACGGCUAACUACGUG